This 667-nucleotide ribosomal RNA is filed under the name uncultured Burkholderiales bacterium. Its description in RNAcentral is "bacterial SSU rRNA". It matches the Rfam family "Bacterial small subunit ribosomal RNA", at positions 97 to 760 of the family's 1533-position model. The record is from RNAcentral. Lineage: Bacteria; Pseudomonadati; Pseudomonadota; Betaproteobacteria; Burkholderiales.
GGCGGACGGGUGAGUAAUGCAUCGGAACGUGCCCAGGAGUGGGGGAUAACGUAGCGAAAGUUACGCUAAUACCGCAUACGUACUGAGGUAGAAAGCGGGGGAUCGAAAGACCUCGCGCUCAUGGAGCGGCCGAUGUCGGAUUAGCUAGUUGGUGAGGUAAAAGCUCACCAAGGCGACGAUCCGUAGCUGGUCUGAGAGGACGACCAGCCACACUGGGACUGAGACACGGCCCAGACUCCUACGGGAGGCAGCAGUGGGGAAUCUUGGACAAUGGGGGAAACCCUGAUCCAGCAAUGCCGCGUGUGGGAUGAAGGCCCUCGGGUUGUAAACCACCUUUGGCAGGAAAGAAAUCGCCUGUGCUAAUACCAUGGGCGGAUGACGGUACCUGCAGAAUAAGCACCGGCUAACUACGUGCCAGCAGCCGCGGUAAUACGUAGGGUGCGAGCGUUAAUCGGAAUUACUGGGCGUAAAGCGUGCGCAGGCGGUUUUGUAAGACAGAUGUGAAAUCCCCGGGCUUAACCUGGGAACUGCAUUUGUGACUGCAAGACUAGAGUGUGUCAGAGGGAGGUGGAAUUCCGCGUGUAGCAGUGAAAUGCGUAGAGAUGCGGAAGAACACCGAUGGCGAAGGCAGCCUCCUGGGAUAACACUGACGCUCAGGCACGAAAGC